RNAcentral lists this transfer RNA (129 nucleotides) under Candidatus Altarchaeales archaeon ex4484_2. Its description in RNAcentral is "Candidatus Altiarchaeales archaeon ex4484_2 tRNA-OTHER". RNAcentral also lists the same sequence under 1 other name. Lineage: Archaea; Nanobdellati; Candidatus Altarchaeota; Candidatus Altarchaeia; Candidatus Altarchaeales. The record is from RNAcentral.
GCGGGGGUGCCCGAGCUGGUCAAACAAUGAUGCCUUACAUUCAUUAAAGAGGGGACAUCUUGGGCUAAAGGGGCACGGUUGAGGGCCGUGUGGUGUAGGCCUACGCGAGUUCAAACCUCGUCCCCCGCA